Molecule: ribosomal RNA, 785 nt
Filed under: uncultured organism
Description: bacterial SSU rRNA
Rfam family: Bacterial small subunit ribosomal RNA
Source: RNAcentral
GCGAUACUGCGUGACUUGAGGCCGGAAGAGGGGAGUGGGAUUCCCGGUGUAGCGGUAAAAUGCGCAGAUAUCGGGAGGAACACCAGUGGCGAAGGCGGCUACCUGGACCGCACCUGACGCUCAGAGGCGAAAGCUAGGGGAGCGAACAGGAUUAGAGACCCUGGUAGUCCUAGCCCUAAACGCUGGAUGCUAGGUGUAGGGCUGAUGAGGCUCUGUGCCGGAGCGAACGCGAUAAGCAUCCCGCCUGGGAACUACGGCCGCAAGGCUAAAACUCAAACGAAUUGACGGGGACCCGCACAAGCAGCGGAGCGUGUGGUUUAAUUCGAUGCUACACGAAGAACCUUACCUGGGUUUGACAUGCUGGUGGUACCGAACCGAAAGGGGAGGGACCCUUCGGGGAGCCAACACAGGUGCUGCAUGGCUGUCGUCAGCUCGUGCCGUGAGGUGUCGGGUUAAGUCCCGUAACGAGCGCAACCCUUGCUCUUAGUUAUACGUGUCUAAGGGGACUGCCGGCGACAAGCCGGAGGAAGGUGGGGAUGACGUCAAGUCAGCAUGGCCUUGAUAUCCAGGGCUACACACACGCUACAAUGGCCGGUACAAAGGGCAGCCAAGCCGCGAGGUGGAGCGAAUCCCAGCAAAGCCGGUCCCAGUUCGGAUUGCAGGCUGCAACCCGCCUGCAUGAAGUUGGAGUUGCUAGUAACCGCGCGUCAGCAUUAGUGCGCGUCUAUACGUACCCGGGUCUUGUACACACCGCCCGUCACGUCAUGGGAGUUGGCAACGCCUGA